RNAcentral lists this long non-coding RNA (17822 nucleotides) under Coffea arabica (coffee). RNAcentral's name for it is "long non-coding RNA (CARA_LNC000995)". Lineage: Eukaryota; Viridiplantae; Streptophyta; Magnoliopsida; Gentianales; Rubiaceae. The record is from RNAcentral.
UUUUUUUUUUUUUUUUUUUUUGCAUCCGCUACAAGGGGAGUCAUUUUGUCCGGGGGUUACCGACUAGUUUAUAAUUUUAAAUGAAGAAACCAACUAUAAGGUGCCAUAAACAACCGCUGAUUUUUUGCCGAAAUUAAAAAAUUACUUUUGCAACCGCUCAAGUCUUGGUUUAGCGGUCAAGACAAUCGAAACAGACUUAUAGCUGUUUGUUUGAUAGAACAACAACAUCAAUGAGACAGCCAGUGAGACAUAUAUAGCAGUUCCAAGUAUGGAUCCAUUCUAGUUUGAAAUGAUCAACUCCUGCUGUAGAUCCAACAAUCCCAUACUUCAGCUGUUCAUUGCAAACAAAUUUAGUGAAAAAUUAAAGAUCCUGUUGUUGCUGAUCAUUAAACUGUGCAUCCACCAUCAACCACAAGAUUAUGCCCUGUGAUAAAUGUAGAAUCAUCGGAGGCAAGGAAUAAAGCAGCAUCAGCAACAUGAUCAACUUUCAGUAUAGCUUCUUUCAAGGAAGUCUGAGGCUGAUGAAUCUUCUCUAAUUCCUCAACAUCCAUAUGAAAAUAGUUGCACGCUAAUGGUGUAGCAACAACAAAUGGUGAAACAGCGUUGACUCUAAUCCCAUGUGGCCCCAACUGCUUACUAGCACAUCUCAUCAGCCCCAGAACUGCAUGUUUCGACAUGUAAUAAUCUGUCGAAACUUCUCCAGCUGUAGUGGCUGCUAUACUCGCCGUGCAAACUAUGCUGCCCUUUACUCCCCUUUCCACCAUCGCUUUUGCAGCAUGUUUUACACAUGCCGUCAUGCCUCGUACGUUGAUAGCAAAGAGUUGAUCAAGUUCUGAGAAGUCAAGAUCGAUCACCAAUUGAUUUGACUUGCUAAAUACUCCAGCAUUGCUGAACAUGACAUCUAGUUGGCCGUAAGUUUGGAUGGUUGAAUCUAUCAUUCUCUGGACUUGCUCUUCAUCAGCUACAUCACAACGGACAUAGCUGCAGUUUUUUGAACCAAUCGAUUCAGCCACGGUUCGGCCCUUUUCGUCUUGGAUGUCAGCGAUCACAACUUUGGCACCAUGGUUGGCAAAAAGUCGAGCAGUUGCCUCGCCGAUGCCGCUAGCACCACCUGUUACGACGGCAACUUUGGCUUCCAGCUUUUUGGUGAUGCUAGAAGGUUGUUGCGCCAUCUCUCUCGAGGAAAAGAAGAAAAAAAAAAGAUUUUUUUUUUCAGGAAGCUAGUUCUUCUUUAGGAGAAAUUAUAGUUGUACAAUGCAUGUAAAACUUCAAGGAUUGCUGCUUUAUAAUACUACCAUAUGUCCCACCCUUGCCUAAUCGUGCGCCAUUGUGCCUAUAGAGUAUUUUACUCUAUAAUUGGAAGUCCAAACAAGUUGCCAACUCAUGUUGGAAGGCAUUAUGUACUUGGAAUCUCUGAUGUUUUCUAGGUAAUACUUAAUGAGCCCAAGUCAACGAUGGAGAGUUGGUGUGUUGAGAAUUGGGAAUUUUAUGCAGGCCUAUAAUUUACAGAACAAAUUGAUGAUCCCAGAAUCCAUUUAGCAGUGGUCUAACAUGUUGUGUUAUCUCACCCACUUAACAGACUAUCGUUUGAUUCAAGCCUCCAAUCCAGAGUCUAAUAUGUUCUCUGACAGAUUCAAGCCUCCAAUGCAGAGAUUUCAAUUGAUUAGAGCAUUUCUCAAGAGGAUCGGCUGGUUUGCAACUUUAAUAACCAAACAAAACAGCUCCUUUAUUAUUAUUAUUUUUUGGGGUCCGUUCAGGAAAAUUUAAGUCAAGAGCAGCUGGCAGAACUGGACGUAAGCUGAUUGGGCUAAGUCUGGCCUUGAAUUAGCCAACCACUUGGGGCCUGAUCAAUGUUCAUGCCGUAGAGAUUAAUGUUGCAUUCCUAAAUAAUCACAACCACAAUCCUCUGGGAGAAACUCCCAUUUGAGAGGCCGAAUCUGUCAGUCAUGAACUGUAGAGUGAUUUGAUAUCAAAGUUGUCACAGAAUGAGAUGAAGCGCCAGGCAGUCCAGAAAAUACAGGGGACGACGUCUUACUAUCCAUGUUAACUAGUUAAUAUACCAAAUUCCAAAUGUUAAAACCCCCAUGAUAAUACUGAAUCCAAGUUCAUGACUUCAUUCAUAUUUCAUUCAAUUAACACACCAUGCAAGUAUUGUAAUUGAUGAAGGGAGGGGUGUUCGCUUGAGGACUUGAAGCCUUUGAAAUGAAGCUUGCAUUUGGGGGAAAUAAUCAAAUCUAGCAUGAUCCCUCAAAAAAAAAAAAUUUUUUUUUUUUUUUUUGGAUAAGCAAGAUAACUUCAUUUAAUUCACUGAAAGCUGACACUCCAAGAAAUACAGCAAGUAGAAGGGAUGGUCUGAUUCCUUAUUUUGAUAACAAGUAGAAUGUGUCAGGAAAUAGAGUCUUGUUCCUCCCAAUUCAUCCAUCAUACGCGGGCUUGUUUUGGACCAUAUCCGCAACUUGGACAACAUAUCGAGAGAUUGAACAAUCUUUACAAAUUAACCUCCGCUUAACAGAGUUAGAAGUACUUUUGCUAUGGUUUCAAUCUGAGUAAAAAAGCAAAAGAAACAACAUCCAGGAUGAGUCUAAAGACUGAACUAUAUGAUCAGAAUACAUUGCUGGCCUACUUAAAAGUAAGGCACUUAUCUAUCAAACUCGUGUAUUUGACAAGUUUUCUGGUCAGGGGUUCAUGAUCCCUCCAUCAUUGAUGAAUUCAUGGUGCUGUGGAGUGCUCUAUUCCGAAGCAUCCUCCUGCCUCCAAUGUGUGUAUUUUACAAGUUUUCUUACCAGCUAACCACUCCCAAGAAACUGUAGCACGAGACAGAAGAUUGUAAAUCAAUAAGAUGUUAAAUGACUUAAAUCAGAAGGAAGAAAAGUAUAAAUAUGAAAAAGAAAAGGAGGAAAACUAUAUCCUAGUAUACACUCUAUAGCUCCAUAACAUCAGCUCAGAGAAAUACUUCCUUCAUUUACAAGGGGUUUUUUUUUUUUGGGUGAGAGUAUUUUUAAGUUUUGCUGGGUCCACGAUGUGACACCGUGUCAAGAACAAAACAAGUAAUAGCAUAUGAGUCAUUGACGGAGUGGGAGAUCAAUUGACAUUUUUUCACAAGCUCAUCCUCUGAAUUUUCUGCUAAAAUAAUCAAUGCCACAACUUUUUCUUUCUUUUCUUCACUUUUUUUUGCUGUAGAGAUCUAAUGAAAAGUAUAAUGUCAAUCAGAUAAAAAGAUAAUUCGAUACUGAUCUCCUCUACUUUGUCCUUCUGCAAUGACGUAUAUAUCUUGUGCUCCUAUCUUCAUUAUUGGCUUCGAAAAAGUACGAACCAACUUUGACGACUAAUUAUUCAAUUAAAACCAGAAUAAAAAAGAUUUAAUUUCUCACGGCUUUCUUGAGGAUGAUCGACCUGGGGGAGAGGGUGGGAAAGAUUAUUGAUGAAACUACAAGAGAAAAUUCACAACAAGAGAGCAAAAAAAAAAAAAAAAAGUUCACUAGAUUUGAUGAAGCAAUAAACUAGUAGAUUGAAGGGUAUAUUGAUACCUGAGGGAACGAAAGGCAAGGUGAGAAGAGAGAGCGUGGAAGAAGAAGUUAACUCCAUGAAGCAACACCACCACUGCCGUGCAACCCAGCAGAAAAAACUCCAUCAUCAUUCCUUCCCUUCUCCUCCCUGAUCUUAAUUAGUGGCUUCCUCACUUAAUUUGGAAAAGAUCAGUUUUCCAAAUCCUUGUUGCCAAAAACUCAAAAGGUGAAAGCCAGCCAGCAACUUUUUAGAUUCUUGAAUCAGCCCAACUUAUCUCGUAUAGUAAUUAAUAAAGAAGAGGAAACUGCAAUAAGAGGAAGAUAUAUAUAUAUUUAUGUGUUAAAAGUAUUUUGAAGAGACCAGAGCACAACAAUUUAGUCCAGUCGGUGCAAUAUAGGAGGGUAAUAGAUUAAUAAAAUAUAUAUACCAGAAGAAUAAAAAUUGUCUGGACAAUAAUUGAUGGGUAUAUGACGUCGACGUUCCUAUCUUAGCUAUAUAUCCUGCGUGCAUAUGAGGGUGAUAUGAAUAAGAUUGACACUAUUCCUAUCGCCUUCAUCACAACCCCUUUGGAUACAGAAGAAAUGCUUUUGGGUAUUCUCCGAUCAUUUUUCUGCUUUUUAUUCUCCAUUAGUAAUAAAUGAGAAACUACCGGACCUACCCGUCGCCACCAACCCAUUUCUCCUUUCACGGAACUGUGGAGCUAGUUUUGUUGUUCCUCUACAACUGUCCACAUAUUAUUAAAGAAUUAAUCUUCUAAAUUGAAAUUUUGUAUAUAUGACAUGUAUUUAAAUUCGAUAACGUGUACCUCAUCAUUAUAAUAAAAAAUAACCCUAUUAUUAAUGCAAUAUUCUUAUUUUUAUAUUAUAUAAGAAUGGGUUGUGGUUAAAGGAAGUUUGAAUUUCAACAGUAUGAAUAAUAGGUUUUUGGGAAUGUGGAAUGUUGUGUAGCUUUUUUAAAACUUUUGGUACAAUUGAGAGCAGCACGUGUUUAGGUAUAUACUGAAAUGAACUCAUUUUGGUACAUUUAAAACUUUGAUUUAUGAAGACAUCUGUGUAUUCUGUCCGCGCGCCAAGUUCCGCCACGCGACGCAGGCCACGGACAGGGCCCGCACGCCACUUCGCGAAGGCCCAGCUCAUCUGAGUUCCGCCGCCCGCAGCUCCACCUCCGACCGCUGCUGUUCACGACACCAAACGCUGCACCUCCUCUCUCUUCGCCGCACGCCACCCGCUGCUGUCCCCUUUCAUUUGGUUGUCAUCCAAGGUGGAGGUAAUUGGAACUUGUCCCCCAUUCUCUUAAUAACUAAUUGGUGCUGCCUGGGUUGCUCAAUAGUUAAUGUUGUUGACGAUUGAAGUUUAUUUUCUCAAUUGGUGAAUUCCACCAGUGGUACUGGUCGGACUAUUUUCGCUUGGAAUUGCUAUUUCUUUUGGGUUGGGUGAAAUUGUGCAAUUAAUUGGCCAACUGGAGCCAUUUGUUGGGACUUUGGGUGAGCUGAAAUAUUGCACUUGUUUGUUAAAUUGGGAGGCCUCUAUACCAUUUACAUUGCUUAUUCCAGUUCAGUGCAUCUAGUUGAAAUGCUGGGGUUCAUUAUUAGAUUUGACUGAGAAUCCUGUGGAUACAUUGUUUGUUGUGUGAAUUGAGCUACAUUAUUUGGGGGAUCUCACUAGUGUGGGUUAGUAGCCGUUGAACUUGUUUCAUCCAUUGUUUGGGUAUUUUGGCUUCGCUGGGUCACUUCUACUCUUUUGGCUGACUGUUGGAGGCUGGGCACUUGGAGUUACUCUGCUACUGUCGAAUUUAUGAGUUAUUAUUGAUUGCAUUGUUAUUUCUUGGGGCUGUUGCUACAAUUUCAGUUGAUUGAGUUGUGCAUUCCAUUUUCCGCCAGUGGUACUAGUUGGAGUGUUUUCCCCCGAAUGUGUUUACUCUAGCUGGUUAGAUAUUCGAUCAAACUGCCAGGAUCUUGUGGCUAUGUUGCUCUUGAUAAACUUUAGGGUUGCUAUUGCUAGAUUUAGCAUAUUAUUGGGGUAUUCGUUAAAAUUUUAGAGUGCAUUUGUUGAGAUUAGGAAUGGCCAAGUUUGCUUGUUGACUGACUGAAUUAGGUAGUCCCUGUGCUUAUUGACGUGACUUUGCUAGUUCCCAGUUAUUGAUAAUAGUUUCUGGUUGUUGAUUUUGGAGUGCAACUGUUGCUUUAUUGACCAUAUUUGGGCUUGAGUGGCCCGUGUUUGCUUUUGCAUUUGACUAUUGAGUUGGGGAACACCAGUGACUAUGGAUUUGCAUUUGUUGGUUGCUAUCUUUGUUGGAUAUUCUGUCUUUUGUUAUUUGGGGUGAUAAUUGGCGUCAAUGGUGAGUGGCGCCACUUACAAGUACAGGUUCACAACGGAGAUGAGCGAAUGACGAAUAUCACCCGCCAAGUGGCAAGGAUGUCUCAGAACUCGGCUUCCCUCCACUGUUCCCUCCUAUCCCUUAGCUGUUCAACAGGGAAGUUUCAUUGUUCUCUUCGUUUUCAUUACUUUAUUACCUCCAUUGAGGACAAUGUAGGAUUUAGGUGUGGGGGGAGCAGUUAUGGUGCUAGUGUCUUUCAUUCAAUUUUUUUUUCUUUUUAGUGAUUGGCUUGUAAGUGCAUGCCAAGGUUUGAUGUUGGAUUAUUACCUCUAUUUCUACUAUUGCCAAUUUUAAUAAUAAAAGGGUAUCAAGUUAAUGUGGUUGAAUCCAAAAACAUCUCUUUGGUGAAUAUCGAUGAUUGUUUUACUCUUAUAAUUUUUGGUUAACUUUCCUAGGCAUAGGGAAUGAUUAUUGGCAUUUUCAUGUGAAUUGGUCCGGUUAUUAACUUUAGUUCUCCAUGUUUGAAAAUGAGACUAGCUGAUGCAAGUUUUCUUUUGGUUCUUGUGUUAUAUUGAGUUUUUGUGAUUUUUAGCUAUGAAUAAACUUGACUGUACUCCGCUAGUAUUUACUACCGAGUAACCGGGGAUUUUCACCAAAAGUGUCGAUUCUCGCGUCAAAAAGUAGUAAUUGCUAUGAGUACGUGGUCACGUGGCGAUAGAAGCUGAGUAACCGGGCUCCUUCAUCCGGCCAAUGUUGAAGUUCGCGUCAAAAGGCUCAAAUGGCUAGCGACUAAGUCUUUUGUUACUAUUGAAAAAAAAAGAGAAAAAAAAAAGAGAAAAAAAAAAGAGAGAAAAGUAGGGAAAAAAAAUAUGAAAAAAAAAGUGAAGGUUGUGUUAGUGUGUAAUAAAAGUCAGCUUGCCGAAUUAUGGAUUUAAUGUUGAGAUUUUGGUUAAUAGUUGGACCAUUUGCUGAUAAAUGUUAUGCAUCAUUCCUUUUUCUUAGAUUAGUUAACUUAAAAUUAGAGGAGUUUGUGGUUUAGAAGCUAACCGGAAUGAUGUUUCUUGGACUUGACCAUUGAUGCUUGAUUCUUAUUUUUCUUGGUACCUUGGCAAUUUGUUGGAUAGAGCAAUGACCAUUAUCACAUUUUGGUAUCUGUUUACUAUUCUCAUGCUUGAGGACAAGCAUGGUUUAGGUGUGGGGGAAAUUGAUAGGUUGCGAUUUUAUCAUUUAUUUUAUUAUUAAUUUCUCCUAUUACCUGACCCAAUUUGGAAUAAUUGUUAGUUUCUACUCAUUUUUAGUAUUUUACAUAUAUUUCAGGGAGUAGAACGAAAAUACCAUAAUAAGUGCCGAUUUGACAGUUAUCAGGAAAGAGUUCAAGUAGCAGGCAUCCAGGGCAUUUUUGGAACAAGGAGAUACAAGUCCUUUUUGGUAAUUCGCAGAGCGCAGCAUUAAAAGGAGGAACGAAGGGCUGAAGUGGGGGUCUUCUUCUUCCUCUCCGGAAGGGGAGCCGCCGCACAUUGGAGAGCUUUUCGUCUUGUAGCUUAGCCGUAGUUGUUGACUUUUCUUCUUAGUUUUUGUUAGCUAGUUUCUUUCUUACGUAUGAAGAUUGCUGAGAAGCUUAGCUUUUGUUUUUGAUUCUGCCUAUUCAAUUUCUCUUCUCCGAAUGUCGGACAAAAGCAAACACACUCAGUGGACUCUCGUAGCUUCCUUUCUUUAUUGAAUGCCCAGCUUCCCAAUUGAUGGCCGCAGCCUUUGCUUCAAUUUCUUGUGGGUUUAGUUCAUUAAUUAUGAACUAAUUCUACAAUUCUAGUCAAGGGACAACUGACGAUUUGGUUCGACAACUACUGUGAGAUCGAAUCUGUUUUAAUUAUUUUCUUCAUUUAUUGGUAUUUAUAUGUUCCUUGAUUUUAAUUGCUAUGGCCUUGUGUAUGAUUGAUUAGUGCGCAAUAAUUAAUUAUUCAUAUAGGCUAUUUUUGCUAAAUAGGGGUAAUUGAAUCCGUAAUUGUUCGUUAUCUCUACCUCAGUAGCAACUGGCGUAAUUGGGUUUAUGUCAGGGGAGCAUAUGAUCUAAUUUAAACAAACCCUCGUAGCGUGUUUGUUGGUUAGGAUUGGGCCUUUCUAAUUAUUAAUGCAAUCUAGAAAUUAAAUCCUACGGUCGUACUUAGGGUUGUUUUUGGGUUAGAGAAAUAGCUAACGGUCGUACCUUAGCUAUCGAUAAAUUAAGGAAGGGUUGGUUGUUUAUCGCGUGCAUGACAACUAUAACCAAUCUAUUAAUAAAUGUUGGGAUUAUUUUUGCAUCAAUGAUCAGUGCAUGAACCAUUUCUGAAGUAUACCCUUGGCUAGAGUUUCUCUUAGUUAUUUCUUUUAAUUAAUUAUUUUCUGCAGUUAAUUUAUUUAGUUAGCAUUUAUUCCAAAACCCCCCAUACUUUGGACUCUAAAAGAAACAAUUACUCCCAGUCCCUGUGGAUUCGACCCUGCUCACCGCUAUCUACAGAAUUAACUUUAGUUUGAGCAGGUUUUAUUAUUGUACAGGCUUCAACAACCUGUCAAUUUCUGGCGCCGUUGCCGGGGACUGGUGUCAGAUUAAUUUGUUUCUUUUUGAGUUCACAUUGUUUUCAUUUUUAAUUUAUUUUUCUCUUAUUUUUUUUUUAUAUAGUUUAUGGCUGCUAACAUUCCAUAUUUUGAUGAUAGACUGGACUUUGUUCCUGAAUGGGGUUAUGAGACUCAUGUUUUUCCUAAUGAUCAAUGGGCUGUUGCAAAUUGUGGAGCUUAUUUUGACUCAGGUUAUUCAACUGACACAUGCCCCGCAUUUCAAGACAAUCUAAGUGCUCCAAUUGAUACUUUUGGAGAUUUUUCACCCCAAUAUCAAAUGCAGUAUGACCCUUAUUCAAACGGGUAUGAUCAAGGAUGGUGGGAUAAUUCCAGUUUUGAUUAUGCGACUGGGCCAAUGGAUUUUCAACAGCAAGAGUCUCAACAACCAUCGUCCCUGUCAGGGUACCAGCAGCAAUACCAACCCCGACCACCUCCGCCCCCAAGCUCUGGUCCAUCUUUGGAGGAGAUGAUAAAACAAGUGAUGACAAACAUGGCGCAAAAUCAGCAAAGGACGGAGGCAAUUCUUAUGCAAAAUCAACAAAGGACGGACUCCGAAAUGCAGGAUAUAAGGAAUCAGAUAAGUCAAAUGGCUACAACAAUCAAUCGUUUGGAUUCCCAGAACCAAGGUGAAUUGCCAUCUCAACCUGAGUUGAACCCGAAGAAUGUCAGCGCCAUGACCUUGAGGAGUGGCAAAGAGGUUCAAGGGCCUGAGCCUGUGAUCCCUAAGGACAAGGAUGAGGAGAUGCAAGAAUGUCAAAAUGAGAAAUCUACAGAUGCAGUUGAAAAAGAAGCCGAAAAUGAAGAAAUGGAACCCCAACCGCAACCCAUUGAAGUGAAAGAAUCCAGUGAAGAAUCAUCAAAUGUGGUGACACCACCUCCAUUCCCUAACCCGCAUUUUCUUAACUUUUAUUCCAUGAUUUCUGUUAAUGAGAUUGAUUUUGUUAUACCGGAAGUUUUUGAGUCUCAUGGCAGAAAUAAGUUAAGAGUAGCUAUGGUCAAAUAUCUUGAACCGUUGAGUGCUCUUGAUGGAGGGGUGGAGGAAAAAUUGAGAUCACUGCUUGAUUAUUUGGCACCAUCAACUAAUCCAUGGAAGACUGUAGCUCGUGUGCUCAAAGAUUACUCCAUCUAUGAGGGUUACCAGGAUCAUAUAGAGGAUGAAGCAUUAAGACGAGUUACACGAUUUUAUCCUCCAUGAACAAAACAUGAUAAUGUCUAGUCAAAAACAUUAAAGAAAGGCGCUCAUUGGGAGGCAACCCAAUUGUUUCUUUAAAUUGAUUGUUUUGAUUUCGUGUGAUAGUUUAAAUAUGUUUUCCUUGAAUUUGACUGAUUUUGGGUGUUAAUUUUCGUUUUUGCUGAUUUGUAGGUGACCUCCAGGCAUGACGCGCCCACGUGAUGACGAGCAGGAAGCUCACGAUCAGAAACUUCAAACUUCUGGGAGCUCUCUUACCCUCAUGACGCGCCCGCGUGAUGACAUGCAGGAAGCUUACGAUCAGCAACUUCUGGGAGCUCUCUUGCCCUCUUGACGUGCCCGCGUCACGUUCGCGGGAAAGGUAAGGAUUCAAAAAAAAAAAAAAUUCUUUUAACCGUAGCUACCUCUUUUCUUUUUUGUUACAAAAGAAAAAAAAUAAAAAAUAAAAUAAAAAUAGAAUAAAAAUAAAAAACCCGUGAUUCCGUGGUCGGUGAUCCAGUGAGAAUUCUACACUUUGAUAAUCACGCUUUUCCAAAAAGCGCGUUGUCUCUAUCGUAUUCUCAUCAAUUAUUUAGUACGAAGAUUCUGCUCUUUUUCUUGCUCUCCUUUUGGGGCGGUUACAUUAAAUAAUAGAAUGAUUUCAGAAAUCUUCCAUAAAAUUUAUAACAACUUCACUUAGCAUUUUGUUGAAGUUUUAAAAAUACCUCGAAUUAUCCAAAAAAAAAAAGAGAGAGAGAUCAUAUUUUCCUUGCUUAUUUUGUCAACAUCAAAAAGAGACAAAAAAAUGGAAGGCCGCAAUUAAAAGUAUGCAGCCACUUGGAGUUUGCCUUAGCAAAUCAGUGACGUAGUAUCAUGGUCCCAACAGUACCUAUGACGUCUAACGUUACGUAAUUUCCAUUGACGUUAUGGUCUACCAAGCUUCUCUCCGCCCCACCUAUGAUAUAUAUAGUCUUCCCAUCAGCCCCUACCCACUAUCAAAAGCCCCCCCUCCACCACACCACCUAGCUAUGAUCACUUUUUCUCUCAAAAAUCCCAAAAAAAGGUAGACAGUAGAAAUUAAACCACCAUGCAGCAAGCAACACCAUAUACAACCUGGCCUCCGACCACCGCAACCUCCGCCGGCGGCUUCCACCAGCCUCGAGUCACAGCUAAGUGACAGUAGCAAAAGUGCGGAAAAUGAUGGUAUACAAGUAGUACCAGUCAGGUAACGAGACUGGUAUCAGAAAAUGCAGUGAUUGCGUUUGGGAGACGAGGUGCUGCAUGUGCUAUGUUGUCAAGCAACUGUUGCUGGCCUUGGCGUUAAUCCCACCAUUUUUUACGUUGACGAGGAAGAUGAAGGGGCAAUAAUCGAUGAGCUAUCGAAAAUCGCAGGCGUUUUGGAAGGGGAUGGCAAUGGGAAGGUGCAAUUUCCGGCUGUUUUUGUGGGCGGAAAGUUGUUUUGGAGGGUUAGAAAGAGUGAUGGCUACACAUAUUACCGGCGAAUUGGUGCCUAUGUUGAGAGAAGCUCGAGCUCUGUGGCUUUGACGGUUGACUUUGUCUUUGCCAAAAGUCUUUCAAAUAUAUAUAUAUGUAUGUAUAUUUUAAAUUGCAAGAAUCCUAGGUGGUUAAUAUGCUUAGGUUUGUUUCUUCUCUCCGUAAGUUUUCAAUAUUGAGAGAUAUGCAGGGCAGGAGACAUUUCGUCACUGAUCUCCUUGUUUUUUCUUCUUUGUGUAGAGGAUAAGGUUUUAGGACCCGCAGAUCAUGUAAUUUUGAUCUCUUAAACUCUUUCCGAUCGUAUAUGUUUCAUCCUUUACAAGUUUAUCUUCACAAUUCAUAGAAUUUAGCCAAGCAAAUCAUCAAGUCUUCUUCUUCUUGUUUUAUUGUUAUUAUUCUUAUUAUUACUAUAUUGCAAUGACAUGGUGGUUGCAUAAGAGUGUACGAGUAUAUAUCUCUGGCAUAUAUAUAUAUAUAUAUAUAUAUACGGAGAUUAGUGUGUUUGGAUUAUAAAUUAUUUGAGAUAAUUUUGUGAAAAAAGUACAGUAUACUUUUUUUAUAUAAUGUAUGUGAGAUAAAAAAAUAAUUGAAAAAUGUGUUGAUGAUGCAAGCAAAUCAGUGUAUGUAAAUAAAGUGUAAUAAUUUACAAUCCAAACACACUCAUCGAUAUCAUCAGUGAAAAUAUAUAUGGCUCAUCAUCAUCAAAACCCUAGUGUGAUGAUCAUCAGGAUGAUUAUAUCAUUUUCAGAUUUUAACUUUUUCUGACUAAUUGAAAGAUCUGGAUUGCGGCCGAUGACUAGAAUUAGCCAGUGGUUAAUUACUUUGGUUUUACGUGAUCGAUCGCCUCCUUAGUCCUUCCUUAUACUGUCCAAGAAUAAAUCACAAGAUUAAAAAAUUAAGCUAGUAAAAACUUGAAGAACUAGAACAUAACCGACCAUCAUGUGCUAUCUAAAGCCUAGAAGACUUGCAUCAAAGCCAAACUUAAUCGGCACGAAUAAUAGUUAGUUUAAUGAUCACGAGAUCAUUGGUUUUUAUCUCAAACUUUCUCAUCUUUCCCUUGUAAUUAAGACUUGAAGUCUUCUUUUAAAGUAAAAAGAAGAAGGACAAAGGAAAAAAAAAAAAAAAACACCCGAAAUAUUGAUUCUCUAUCUAGGCCGACUCGGGGGAAUAGAAUAAGUAUCUAGGCAGGCAUAUAGUAAGAUUACGUACCAUCGAUUUGUUAAAAAGCCAGUACAAUUACGGGAAGGAAUCUGCUUAUGUAACCAAAAUUUUAUCCCUACGAUUUUCUUUUCUUGAUUUUGUAUGUGAAUAUGACGUGAAUUCAUAAAUUAUUGCUUGAACAGUGAAUUAUUUGUUUAUAUUAUCAACACGUUUUUAAAUUAUUAUUUUUUAUUUCAUAUGUAUCACGUCAAAAAUAUUACAAUGCUUUUUAAAAAAAAAAUUAUCCCAAAUAAUCUAUUAUCUAAUAACCUCCCAUCACAUACAUCACAUCAACCAAGCUCACUUGUUAUCCACAGUCUAUAAUAUCGUUUUCUGCAAUUCUAAUAGAGAUGAAACACGUCAAAAAAGUCUUCUGCGUGUAAGGUAGCAGCCGUGUGCGGUGCAAAGAAAGAGUAAAGAUUGACAAGCAUCCACACACACAAAGCUAGUUAACCUUAUCCAAUCCCUUUGCUAUUCCCUUUCAUCAGUGUAUGGAUAUUUUGAAGCCUGAAUUGGUGCUAUCGAAUCGACGAAGUUCUUGAGACUGUUGGUUGUCAUCGUAUUAAUGUCCCAAUCUAUUCCAUCGCUCACCAGUUACGAAGCAGUGUACAACAUCUUUAUUAACGUGCCAGUACGAGUAGCACCAUCAAAUCUCAUGGCAAUUUUGAUUUUGAAAAGAACAUUACCAAAUUCAUGCUUCUAAUAAUAUCAGAAUCCAGCAAUAUAGAAAGAGCCAAUAACAAACUGUUCAAGUGAUCACUCGAUUUCCUUUAUCACGAACCUGGAUUUCAAUCACUUUUCCAUCCACUAGAAAAAGAACUAAUGUAAAAAAGAUUAUCUUGCGUCUCAAGUGCUAAUACAAUGACUGCCUUUUUGUCAAAAAAAAAAAAAAAAACUAUGUACUCCCAGAUGCAAGGUUAACAAUACUACACCUUAAAUUAAACCAACUGUAGUUCUAUUUUUUUGGCUUAUUCUUCUUGAAAAACGAUCGAUGGCCUUCCACAAUUAAUAGUGUAAUCAUUUCUUCCUGAAUAUUUGAUGAUCCACUGAGACCGUGGACCAAAUAUAACCCCAGUUGACUUCAAAACUAACCCAGCAUUCCCUCCUUUUUUUUUCUUUUUUUUUUCCCCCUUUGGAAUGCUAUACCGAAUCUACAUACGCCUUGUUUCAUCAUGAAUAAUAGAUAAUUGAUUAGUACAAUUAUGCAUCAUUAUCCGUGAGAAAAUCAUUAUAUACUUUGUCUGAUAUGAGCCCCGUGACGGACAAACAGCAUUAUGAAGUCAGCAGUAACUGUCAUUACGUGAGAGGGUUGGUCAUGAUGAGGAAGAUGAUGAUGAUGAUGACCAUGACGAUGCAGCUUAUGUAAGUGUGAUUAUAUUUCUUCUCAUCGAAAAUUCAAUGUGCGCUUCGGUACAAUCUGCCAGUGGGAUUCAAUGGUUGUCCGCAUCGGUCAAUAAAGUUGUUUGCAUUUUUUUUUGUUAUCGAUACGAUAGACCUACAAUUAUUCUAUGCUAUGAAGAGAAGAAGAUCUGAAGAGGUCGGAGAGAAAUCGGAGGCGAUUGAACCACCUACCGGUCUCGUGCACUCGUCUUGAAGUGGCUUAUCAUAUUUUUGUGCCAGUGAUAGGAGACAAGGUUUGAUCCCCUUAACUCCCCCCUCCCCCCCCCCCCCCCCCGGUCAACUUUGGUGACAGCUUAGCUCGGUGGUUUUUUCUGCGUAACUGGGGUCUUCAUGCUUCCCCUUCCUCCUAAAUAAAAGAAGUAUACUAUUAAUUAGUACUACUAAAUUGACACGGUUGUCACUAAUAAUUUCUAUCAUUAGUGCAACUUUCUUAGUCGAGUAGAAGGUGAUUUUCAACUAAUUUAUUAAUAAUAUUGAUUUCUAUUUCAUUAAAAAAAAAAGAUUGACACAAUUCAUUACUCCCCGCAAGGAAGGACUAGUUGAUUGUUAGUUUUUUUUUUUUUUUUUAAGGAUGCAUUUACUCGAUGAUUUAAACUACUAUAAUACUUGCCUAGGCAAGAUACAUGGCAAAUAAUAGUCGACCCACAUAGGCAAAAUCUAAGUUGGCUGGCGUAAUUUCAUAAUUAGAGAGAUCUGAUUCAGUGCUAAGUUUUGUAUCUGUUCUAUUUGUUUGUUCAGUGCUCUAAUUGUUUUCUAUUCUUUAAGUUGAACGAGAUAAUUAAUUACAAGUAAGCUUGUUCGCGUUAAUACGAGAAGAAUGAAGAGAAAAGAUUAUAAGAAGAUACCGGUCAACUCUUUCUUGGUCGAAAUAAAGUGGCGCAAUUCUACCAGGCUUAAAUACGAGAAUCGCAUUAAAGUUGUGUACCCUAAAGGGCAAAAAAAAAAAGGAAAUAUAGUUCAAAAUAUCCUUUAAAAUCAAGUCAGUAAAUUUUGGUCUCAAUCCAAGUUUCCGACUACUUUUUACCUCGAAUCCAUUACAUGAUUCAUGCAUAGUUAUUUUUUAGGGAUAAAAAAGUUAUAUUUCAUUUGUAGUUAAAUAAAUGAUCCGAUUCAUAUUUAUUUUUACCCCUAAAAAAGUAGAAUAUGUUCCAAACCAUAUUCAUUUUUUCUAAAAGAGUGGGAUAGGACCUAAUACAUAUUCAUUUUUUCACUAAAAAAAUGGAAUAUGACCCUUUUGCACAUAAAAAAUUGUCUACACGUGAGUCUAAUGGCGAUUUUAAGCUAAAAAAUUAUCAAAAAAUUUAGCUGGAACUAAAUUUUAUUAACUUAAAUUUAUAAAAGAUGUGAAUUUAACAUUUUAGAAUAUGAAGGAUGAAAAAGUUCAUUUGAUGAUCUGUAAGGGAUGUUUUGAACAAUUUUUUUUUCAAAAAAAUCUUAAUUGUCUCAUAACGAAGCAAUAAAAUAAUUGUUAAACCAUAUAAUUUGUCAUUUUUUUCAGCUAUUAAUCUUUCCCUGUUUCACAUGUUAUAGAUUAAAGUCCGAUGACACUGGAAACUUGGAGCCCACGUACCUAAGAAAUUUCCUAAAAAGUAAAAAGUAAAAACUGACAAAUUCCUCACACUGCCUGGUUGCUGAUUACCGUUUUAGAAACUUGGAGCCCACGUCCCUAAGUUAUUUCCUAAAAAUUAAAAACUAACAAAUUCCUCAAGCUGCCUUGUUGCUGAUUCGUCUCAGAGAAUCUCUUCUUUCCUAUUACUGGAAGUAUUUGUCUUGGAUUUCUUGAAAUCCUAGGGCUAGGAAAAGUUUGUCGAGUCUAUAAGAAAAUCGAUAUCCCUAAUCAAACAUCUUAGCAGAUUUUAAGCGUCUCCAAAGAGAUUCUCAAUUAAAGGUUCGUUUUCAUAGCAUCGAUUGUUUUCCGUUCUUUGUUCUAAUUUUAGUGCAGGUUCUCCCUGAAACUUAAUUAUCAAACAAAUCAUCAUGGAGACCUUAGAGCAUGUGAAAAAACCAAAAUCACAAAAUUAUUGUGUUUUCAUGCAGGAAAAAGAGAGCAAGAAUGAAGAAAAUCCCCACAAAAAGGGAGAGGAGGCAAUCCCUGAUGGAAUAAUGCGUGAAGUUUCUGUUGGGAAGGGAUUAUCUGGAGCCCUGAAGCUGUUGUUAGAUCAAGGAUAUCUCAAGGAAACUAAAGAAUUGAGUAAUCCGAAAACGGGCUCGAAAACAAGCAAGCUUGGCGGGAUUUAUGAUGAUCGGGGACAAAGGGAGAUAAUCAUUGAGAGAAGAGAUGAGCUUGGAAAUGUCAUGAAUGAAAAAGAAGCUUUUCGCCAACUUUGUUAUAAGUUUCAAGGGAAGAGGCCUAGUAAAACUAAGCAAGACAAGCGUAUGCGGAAGAUCGAGAGGGAGAAGAAUGUGAAGCUAUCGUCCCAGAAUUCUGAAGAAAGUAUGGUGCUAAUGGAUAAUGCUUUGAAGAAGCUUCAAAAACCUUAUCUUGUUAUCGAAGGGAAAAAAAGGGCUACAUGAUGAAUAGUGCCCACCUGUUGGCUCGCAUGAAGGUCAAUGGCCUGAGCACCAAGAUGCAGCUCCUCGCAAGAGCACUAAAACUAGUAAGUUCCGUGAAGAUCUGCAAUGCAAUACCCUGAACUUUAGGAAUAUUCUACUGUCACAGUGCACUUUAUCUACUAUUGGUAAUUUUUCUCUAUUGCUUUUACCAUUUUUUUCAUUUUGUUCAGUUCUGUGCCAACUUUUUCUUGUUUGGGAAUGUUUACUAAAAAUUUUUUCUUUAUUAAAUUGGUGAUACAAGAAGCAUAAAAAUUCUGGCUCCUUUCUGGUAAUGCACAAUUUCUGUUGCAAGGGAACAUUUAGUGUCUUACUAAGCAUGCUACAUUGCAAAAUACAAAGAGUGAUACCUGACGUUUUAUAGGCUGAGGAUAGGCAAAAUUCUGUCUUUUAAUCCCACGUAGUUAGCACAGUGAGCCAUGAAGUCAAGCACAUCCCAUAUCGGUGGGGAAGCACAUUUUUGCUGCUAUUUUUACCAGUAACUGAUAACGUUCAGUACAACAGCAAAGUAGGAUGGAAACAGAAUCAUAAGUUGGAUAUGAAUUUAUUUGUCACAAAAAUUUGUUACUUGCAUCAUAAACACGUUUUUCAAACUUUUUUUAUAUUCUUAACCAUAUUUUUAUUUAACAUACAUCACAUCACAAAAAGUACUACAGUAUUAUUUCAAAUAAUAUUUUCAAAUGAUCUCCAAUCCAAACACACUCAUUCUCAAUGAAGCAAAGUUUAAUGCCUGGUUUCGUUUGCGGGUCGAAUCAGCUGGCAAAAAUCCUGUAAUGCGAUCCAAUAUAAUUAACAACUCAGGUCCUCAAAUCCAGUCCGUUAUCGGUCUACCAGUAAUUGCCUAAUUGACGAGGAAAUUUGAAGCAAAUUUAAAUGGAAACAGAGUGAUGAUCAAAGGUACACCCUUCUAUUUUUAACACCUAAAACAUGUAGACACAAGACACCACAAUUUUGGCCCAGAGAGAGAGAGAGGAAUGGAUGUAGAACAAGGCAAACUGAUAAGGAAACCAUUCUUUUGUAGCAUAAGCUUUAAAUUCUCUUUGUUUCUACCUUGUAUAUUUGUUUCCGCUUUGUCCAGAAACAAAUGGAGCAGUAGUAGAAGAAAGAGAAGCGGACAAGAGAAUUUCUACGAUAAGUACAACACAGGUAACAUGAUCUUUCUUGGAAACUACAUAAUAGCAUUUAUACCUUGUAAGUUUGCAAGAGUACACAUUUAAGGUAAUGCAUCCACCCGAGUCCUGUUGCUUUUGUCCUUUUUAUGUCUGAGUGUAACUGAAUCCUCAUGCCUCCACCCAUACUCUAAAUGCAUACUUUAAACAGAUAAGUGAGAAGCAAAUUUAACAGUCUAAUGAAAAAGAAGAUAAAAACCAGAAUGGGUACUCAUGAGAUAAUCUUUGCAUCUCAAUGUAACAGGUGCUCCUGCAAAGAGAAGCUUAAAAGAAGACAUUCAUACUUCACCAGAUAAGGGAAAGAUUCAAAUGAGAACAUGGAUUGGGUUGUUAAGAAUUAGGAAUCAUUAGGUCCAGACCCAAUUAUCCUUGUAAAAUUCAGCUUAAUUUCAACAUUAUUUUGCAAAUUACAGAGACAGACUGCU